This 3323-nucleotide long non-coding RNA is filed under the name Sus scrofa (pig). RNAcentral's name for it is "lncRNA (ENSSSCG00030010166.1)". The record is from RNAcentral. Lineage: Eukaryota; Metazoa; Chordata; Mammalia; Artiodactyla; Suidae.
UUUUUUUUUUUUUUUUUGGUCUUUUUUUGAUAUUUCUUUGGGCUGCUCCCACGGCAUAUGGAGGUUUCCAGGCUAGGGAUUGAAUCGGAGCUGUAGCCCCUGGCUGUAGCCACAGCAAUGCCAGAUCUGAGCCGCGUCUGCAACCUACACCACAGCUCCCGGCAACGCCAGAUCGUUAACCCACUGAGCACGGGCAGGGACUGAACCCGCAACCUCAUGGUUCCUAGUCGGAUUCAUUAACCACUGCGCCACGACGGGAACUCCUCCACAGGAUUCUUGAAUCUGUGACUUAAUGUCUUUCAUCAGUGUUGGAAAAACUUCAGCCACGAUCUCUUCAACUAUUGCUUCUGUCCUGUUUCUCUUUCUUAUCCUGGGAUUCCAGUCAUAUGCAUGGUAGAAUUCUUCACUCUGAUCCUUGCAUUUGAAUUCUUCCCUUUUGUCUUUCAUGCUUCAUAUUAGUUAUUGAUUCUGAUCUAUCUUCUUACUCACCACUUCUCACCUCAGCUAUAAUAUCUUUCUACAAUACAUAAUUUCCACUUUUUUUCUUUUUCUUUUUUUGGCUUUUCAGGUCCGCACCUGUGGCAUAUGGAGGUGCGGCCCUAAAAAGCAAAAAAAAAAAAAAAAAAAACAACCAAGUGCCAUGACGGAAGACGAUAUAAGAAAAGGAAUGUAUGACUGGGUCGCUCUGCUGGGCAGCAGAGAUUGGCACAGCGGUGUAAAGUGACUAUACUUCCAUUAAAAAGUAAAAAUAAAAAUAUGACAAAGUGUCUAUGCCGGGUGGGGGAUGUUUCUUUCCAAAAGCCUUUGAAAAUUCACAAGAUGGUCAGAGCAAAAAUAACACAGGUACCAGACUGGGCUCAGGGAGAGAGGCGGGCAGUGCAGGUGUGCUCCUAAGGCACGUUACGGGCGAUGACCUGAGGCCUUUUCCGCUCUGUCAAGCAGCUUCCUUGAUGCAAAGCAAACUUCUCAAGUGUUUUUUCUUGUAUUAUACGCAGACCUCAAAAGAAAUGCAGCUCCACCACCAAAACAACAAUAAUAGGACUGACCUGGUAAAAGGAGUAUAUUUUUCACCUUCCGAAGGACAUAAACUCUGCCGCAAUAUCGCUAUGACAAGGGGCUAAUUAAAUAUUCCAGAAAUAAAGAAUCAACACACCUUUAACGACGAGCAAAUCAGACUCAGGGAUGUCUGUUCCCCACAGGACAGGUCACUGCAUGCAAGUGACAGAAAUACUUGGAAGAAGAAACAUUUUAAACAGAGUCCACUGGGACAUUGGGGGUUUUUCCUGUUUGGUUCUUAACCUUAAAACGAUCUUAACACCAAGCUGGAAAUUAAAAUUCUUUGCCUAAUCGUCUCUAACCACCUGGCCUUAGAAGUGAGCUAGCUUGUUCAAUGUAAUCCUUAAGGCAGAAGUAACAGACACAGCACAUGUUUAUCCUACAAACAGAAACUAUGCCUUUAUUUGAAAUGUCUAUGAAACACGUCUGGGGCUCUAUACUAAGGCACCAACACCAGAAAUAAGAACAAACGCUCCCAUUCCCAAAAAGCCACAUCCUCUAACUGCAGUGCCACAAAAUGAGUACAAACGGUUCACCCCAAACACGGGCCUCUUGGAAGUUUAGACACUCAUUCUAUUUGCUGUUAAGAAUCUAUCCAUUCACGCACAGACCCAGAGAGGAAACAGAAAUUGGGCAUGUUUAAAAUCUGCAUACAGUGAGCAAAGGAACAUUUUCAUAAACGUUUUCAUAAACGUUUUUAAAAGACAAUUACUUACAGCAUCCACAGAAGCUCAUAGGCAACAUGCAAGGGAAAAAGUACUGGUUUCCAGCAAGGUGGUGUAGCAAAAAUAGUGUCCCUUUCCCCACGCCAGGGUCACACUCUUUAAGCUCCCUUUUUAAUAUUUUGAUGUAACCAAGUCAGCUUCAUGAGCAGAUCCGGGAUUGCUCUGCUCGGUACUGAACACAAGAGCAUAGAGCAGCUCCUCGCUCCCUAUUUACAGAAUAAAUGAAUUUAAAAUAUUUAUCUGAAAGUAUUGGCUCAAUCACUACUAUCCCCUAACCCCAGUGAAAUAUUACCUAGACAUUUAAAACGAUAAGGCACAAACACUUUUCUUCACAUGCAAAGAUGUUUCAUGCCCUCAUGGUGAAUAAAGCAGAUGACAAAAUAGUCCAUAUAAUCACAUUUUUUUUUCUCUCUCAUUCCCUCUCUCACAGAUGUUUAAAAAAGCUGUGUUCCGGGCACAAAAACUACAGCAUGAUUACAGAAUAACCUGUAUACACCCACGAUGAGAAAAGAGAACACGUUUUUCCUAAGGUCAGUUAUGCUGCUGUUGCUUCGAAGAUGUAUAGAAUUUUGUCACGCUCACUGCUGGCCCUUUAUACAGAGUGACCACGCAAACUCUUCACCACCCACCUGCUUCUCCAGGGUGACACCUCUGGGUCAAUGACAGUUUCAGACCUGGCCUACAAGCUCAGAAAGCCAUCUGCUUGCUACUCAAACUGGGAUUAAAACGGCUAAGAGAUGGCCUGAGGCUCUUUUCCUUGGGAGUCUGUAACUUAAGUGUCUGCGAAGCAAAAACAUUUCUCACGUGCUUAUAUUAUCUAGUUUGAAAUUACAUGGAAACAGCCUGCCAUAAAGACGGGAGGUGCCUAGGAAAACCAACAGGAGAACGUUUUCAGAACUUAGAGAAUCCAUCCACAUUUAUCCUACUUUCAGAGAAAUGAAAAGCCGUCUCAUGUUGCAUCACAAAGUAAUAAUUAACCCUCAGCGUGCUAGUCUAUAGGGCAGUGCAAGUCAAGGCUUCAAUACUUCAGUCUGGAAAAAUGAGUAAGUUAAAUCUUCUGUUUACCUGUGAUGACAGCGUCCUGCUUCUGAGCUUGUCUUGCCACGAGGCAGGGCCUUUCACGGCAGUCUUGGCAGUAAGAAAGUAAAGGAGGAAAUAAUUACAAUAUGUCCCCUGGGUUGUCCCCAACGCUCCACCACCUUGGAAGAGGAAAGUCACCGUGACACUUCUUGUUCAAUGGCUAGAGUGUGGCAGGGUCGUUCCCAGCCCAACCUUGCCGCCACCACCCCCACCCCCCUCCCGCGCGCCCCCUGCACCCCUUCCGAAGCAGCCCUGGGAGAGGAGGAGGGGCUCCCUGGUUUGGGGAGGGGUGGCUCGGGUCGGGGCAGGCAUGCAGCCUUGGGUCCCGGCGAAAUCCAAGACAUUUUAUACAACUACGGACUUUUCUUAGAAAGAACCUUGGCAUUUGGGGCACCGGCGUCGGGCCUUUAAAACUUAAAAAAGGCGAGGAAAGCACGAGCAUACAGUUGUUCCUCGUUGGUC